This 1083-nucleotide long non-coding RNA is filed under the name Apteryx rowi (Okarito brown kiwi). RNAcentral describes it as "lncRNA (ENSARWG00000000589.1)". The record is from RNAcentral. Lineage: Eukaryota; Metazoa; Chordata; Aves; Apterygiformes; Apterygidae.
UCUGAGCGCGCGGGCGCCCGCAGCCGGCGUGAGCGCUGCGGGGGCGCCUGGGCGAGGAGGCAGCUGCUCCUGCUUCUGGGCUGCGGGGGGGAAAACAAAACAACGACAACAAAACUGUUCAAAAACUCGCGUGAGGGAGGCUGCCUGGCGUUUCUGAGGAGUGACUGCGAGCGGUUGCUGCGCUAAAAAAAUGCCUCGAGUAGGAUAAAAAUACGCGAUGGGCACAAAUGCUCUUCAGAGCGCUCUUCCCGCUUGGUGUGCGCUAGCCUGUGCUGAAGAGGCCAGAACCUGGGCAAAAGGAGGAAUUGUUCAUUUGAAGAUGUACAUUUUGCUUUUCCAGAAACCAUGAAAAACCAUAGAUUAAGUUUCCUGUGAACAAACUGCAGCUACGUUGGAAGACAACUGUAAUGUUUUCCUGGCUUGAACGAUGGUGGCCUGCCUGCUUCUCUUGCUUUCUUCCUUGAGAUAUUUGUGGCAGACAGAGGAGCUGCUGAGACUAUGACAGGUAUUUUAUGCUGUUUGGCUGCUGGAGGUGACCCUCCCACCCCUUACCUUGUUUAAUAUUUAGCAUGGCGUUUGCCAGCAGGCGCCCUGUGGAUGCAUAUUCCAAGCAUGUCCAGCAAAAGGCCUCUGAAAUGAAGGAGAAGGUAGAGAAACCUGAAGGUGCCAACAAACUGACACAGGUCUGGUUUUGGGUCUUUUUCCUGCAUUUGCCUGUGGAGUUCUGCAAAGAUAGUAGCAGUUUGAAUAAAGAAUCUGAAGCUCAGCCUGCAUGGUCCUGGUUCCCACUCCCUGGUGUGGAGCAUGUCACUGUUGCAGAGAGUGGGAAAGAAAUAGGCCUGUAGGCCAGGCACAUUGGGCAAAGAUCCUUUUCAUUCAAGACUCGUAACCAACAUUUACAGUUUUUGAUACCCAACAUGAAGUAACACAUCACUGAGAUGCAGGAAAGCCCAUGUCAUUUCUCAUCUAUAUGAUGAGCAGCAAGAGCCAGGUACAAGGAAGAAGGCAACAUAUCCGUGAAAACGUUACAGGGAGCUCAAGGGACAAACCAGGAAGAUACGAAUAAAAUAGUUGUGCAUCACA